UCCCACUACAACAUUUAAAAUGGCAGCUAAUGUCAGGGGACACCCUGGGUGUUCAGGAGCUGGCUAAAGCUGAAGUUCUCUUACUCUUUGGUUAAGGGCACCACUUUCGGAUAAAAACAUAGACCUGAAUGGCAUCAUCCAGUAUCCAAGGAAACCGGGUAACAUGAACAACCAGUUUGUUUGAACAACUAGAACAUGUUAAAUUCAAACCUUCCUAUGGAUUAGCUCUUUCCCCACCUCUGGUUGAAA
Ceratotherium simum simum (southern white rhinoceros) is the source of this 249-nucleotide non-coding RNA. The record is from RefSeq and is a predicted model, not a curated record. Lineage: Eukaryota; Metazoa; Chordata; Mammalia; Perissodactyla; Rhinocerotidae.